This 393-nucleotide ribosomal RNA is filed under the name uncultured bacterium. Its description in RNAcentral is "partial 16S ribosomal RNA". It matches the Rfam family "Bacterial small subunit ribosomal RNA", at positions 523 to 918 of the family's 1533-position model. The record is from RNAcentral.
AUACGGAGGAUGCGAGCGUUAUCCGGAUUUAUUGGGUUUAAAGGGAGCGUAGGUGGGAUAUUAAGUCAGCUGUGAAGGUUUGGGGCUCAACCUUAAAAUUGCAGUUGAUACUGGUUUCCUUGAGUACGGUACAGGUGGGCGGAAUUCGUGGGGUAGCGGUGAAAUGCUUAGAUAUCACGAAGAACUCCGAUCGCGAAGGCAGCUCACCGGGCCGGAACUGACACUGAUGCUCGAAAGUGCGGGUAUCAAACAGGAUUAGAUACCCUGGUAGUCCGCACAGUAAACGAUGAAUAUUCGCUGUUUGCGAUACACUGUAAGCGGCCAAGCGAAAGCGUUAAGUAUUCCACCUGGGGAGUACGCCGGCAACGGUGAAACUCAAAGGAAUUGGCGGGG